Molecule: long non-coding RNA, 1329 nt
Filed under: Chinchilla lanigera (long-tailed chinchilla)
Lineage: Eukaryota; Metazoa; Chordata; Mammalia; Rodentia; Chinchillidae
Description: lncRNA (ENSCLAG00000022698.1)
Source: RNAcentral
CUUCAGAUGACUGGGAAGUCGAGGAGGUAGGAUAGUAAGACACUUCAUCAGUGGCCAAGCAAUCAAUAGAUGCAAAUACGUCAAAUCAUUGAACUGAAUUAAAUUGACCUUCUAUCUUUGAGAAAAGCCUAAGGACAGAGAGAAAGAGUAUAGGUUAGGUUGACUAGGCUUGUAACUAAAUAGGAAGUCCAGGAGUGAGGAAGUUUUAGAUUAUAGCUCAUGAAAUCCUAGUCAGAGAUGCAGGCAUCUUUGAUGUGAGGAGGCUUCAAACAGAGAAAAGGUGCUGUUGAUACAGAUUUAGAGUUUGCUCACACGUGGACAUUUCCGUUCUCUUCAGUUCUGUUUGCCUUUCUCUGAAGGAGUUGUUUCCCAACUGCUCAGCAUAGUCAAGUCUCUCUCGCUGCUGGCUUCUGGUCCCCUUCAGUGCCUCCUUCCUAAGCUGUCUUACUUCCUUUCUCUGCUCCAUGAACGUCGGCAUAAUUUCCCACUGCUGUACUGAACCUACACUUCUGGCUUCUUAAGUGCCACUUUCUAAUUGUGGAGAGUAGGAAUCCUGAUGGUUAAACUCAAAUGUACAAGAAAUUUCACAAGCACAAUAGUCUCUAAAUCAACUUGGUUGUAGUUACCACGCACCCCUCACUCUGCCCUUGGGAUCAGUCAUCAUCAGACUCACAUGAUCCUCGAGGAACUUCACUUGGGGAGAGCUUUGGAGUCUUCUGUGACACUGGCCACAAAGAAGAAUUCCAUGUCCAGGCUGCCAUGGAGCUUUUCAGUACAGAUUCUGUGGUGCUGUGGGGUCACUAACUCCUGAGGACAAGACAUCUUUGUGGGAUCCCAACUGUGUGUCAGGAGAGACUCUCGGUAUAGGAAAUGAACAACAUAAACCGUGAGCGCGGCAGACGCACCUUCGCUUCAGCAGAGAUUGUGCUCCCGCGGAACAAGGGCUGCACACAGCAUUGCCGUGUUUGGAGCCGGCAAACACUAACAGACAUUGCACAACUGUGUCUCCCAGUCUCCAAGCCAACAUGAUGAAAACGGUGCAAGCUGUCAAUUCUUGGUCUCCCACGUUCUCCUCAUCUCGUUUCUUUUUCUCUCAUUGUCUGGAAAGGAGAGAAAAUAAAGACUAAUUAUAAUGUGAUGGAAUUAUGCAACUUUAAUAAUAAAAAUAUCCAUACUUCAGAUUGGCCUGUUCUAGAAAUGGCAGAAACUAGAGUAACUCCCAUAAAAGGCCUGGGCGGCAGCUGUAUUUGGAGGCCAGAGUAGUGAAAAAUGAAAAUAUUUAUGCCCUGAUAGAUAUUGUAGAGUUGACAAACGCAUAGUGAACUACAU